ACAAACGCGCGGAGCGCCCGUGACCGGCGCGGACCAUUUCGGAACAUUACUGAUAAUUAUUUCAGGCAACUGUCGUUGAAUAAAUCUGACUUAUCGAACAGGAGGCUAAAAUACUCUUGUAUGGCUUUUCGGGCGAGAAACCACCCCAGCGACGGUUAAUUCCAUCUGAUUCGUUUCAAUCUCCAUACGCCAGGAAAAUGUGCGGCGAAAAUACUGAGAUGAGGAAGGAAUGGCCAUAGAGUUGAGGAUUAUUUUUUUUAAGGAUUUUAUUCAUUUUUUUAAUAACAAAAGAUUAAUUUGUACAUGAUGAACCACAUUUCACAUUUGCAUAUGAUUAAAAACAGCCUACAUAUUAAGCAGGUAAAAUGUAAGUCACAGCAAAAACUAUGUAAAAUGGAAACUACAGUACCUCGAUAUUUAAUAUAAGAGGGUGCAAACAAGAUUUACUUUAUAAUUUGAAAUAAAUAUGUAAGAUUUUUGAAAAAUAUU
Long non-coding RNA from Frankliniella occidentalis (western flower thrips), 489 nucleotides. RefSeq lists it as uncharacterized. The transcript is spliced from 2 exons. Lineage: Eukaryota; Metazoa; Arthropoda; Insecta; Thysanoptera; Thripidae. The record is from RefSeq and is a predicted model, not a curated record.